Anas platyrhynchos (mallard) is the source of this 2441-nucleotide non-coding RNA. The record is from RefSeq and is a predicted model, not a curated record. NCBI's taxonomy places the organism in Eukaryota, Metazoa, Chordata, Aves, Anseriformes, Anatidae.
ACCUCUGAAGAAGAUGGCUGCUUUGGUUAUGGUCACUGCAUAGGUGCUGGUGGCUGCAUAUUAAUGCCCGCUUUGUCCCCUGCCUUUGCAGCAGUAAGGCGGUCAGCUUCUCAGAGCCAGCCACAGUGUGUGCUGUGCUUGUGCUGGCCCUGUCAGUCUGUGCGUGGUAGCAGUGUUUGUGCUAAUACAGGUCCCAUCUUGGCAGGCUUGAGGUCUGAGAGACCGCUGAACCCCUGUGUAUGCCCUCUUCUGCAGGAGGGGAAGGGCAGCCGCUGGCUCCUGUCUCGGUGCUAGUCUGCGGGCUGCUGGUGGACUGGUCCCCGGGGGCCUUCACAUCUCCAGGCCGGGCAGCAGCUCACCCCAGUGCUUUGGGCUCCCAGGAGCCAGAGACGCAAGCAGGUGAGCCCAGACCUGAUGGUGACUCCUGUGCAGGUGGAUGACCAUCCCACAGAACAUGCUGGAGGCUUUGCAUGGCCCCAGGGACCUGCUGGCACCACAGCAAGUUCUGCUUAGAGAGCCCAAGCCUGAGAGAGGUGUACAGACAUAAGCACUUUGAGAACAACUGACAUAAAAGUGCCAACCUUUUGGUAAGCUACUUGUGUGUGAAGACUAUCAAAGUGACUAAAGAACAUGAUAGGAGUCCUGUGAUGGCAGGACAGCACAGCAUGGCGAAUUAUUUUUGCCUCGUAUUAUGCUCUGUUUGGUCUGUUAGUCUGAUUAUACUGAGUCUGUCAUGCACACAGCUGCUAUGGAAGUGCGUAUGUAAAUAUUCACUUAAAUAAACACAUCAGCUUUGAUAAACGCACCUCUGCUCAAUGAACCUGGCCAGCUAGCAUAAAUCAGUACAGAUAUUAAAAACAGGGACAAUAAGUGGAACUUUUUCCUCUGUGUGUGUAGCAGAUGCCACUAUAUUUAUGACCUUUGCCCUGUUAGUAAUCUCUAUAGCAUACACUAGCCAUAUAGGCUAACCCCUAUAGGGGUUAGCCUAUAUACAUAUAGGGCUGCACCAUGGAGAUGGAGAAAAAGAGGUUUUCAUUAGGAGAUUUAUUCUUGAAAAUGAGAAUUUAAUCCUCAAACAAAACAGAGAAGGCCUUGGAAUUAAUCAGCAAUGUUUCAGAGGCUGGAGUGCCAAGGCCUCUAUUUAUCUGCCACAGAAAAGCCACUGGCUGCAUGGCCAGAGCUCACCAUUACAAAGUGAUGGAGCAGCACUGAAAUCUCUCAGCUUCCGUGGAAAUUACCUGAAACGGAAAGUGCCAAAUACUUUCUGAGAGUUACUUGACUCUCUGCAAGCUGAAACUCUAACACGUUGUCAUUUAUUUAUCUUUCAUUUGCAUGCCAGCCACACUGCUGAAUGGAACCUGGUGCUUCUUUAUACUAAGGCCUCUCUGAACCACUUCAGUGUUAAUAUCUGGUGACGACACCUCAGUCUGAAAGAGGAUGCACCUGUGUAGCGUCUGUGCAGCUCGAGUUAUUCUGAAUCCCUCUGAAAGGCUGGGGCCAAAACCAGCACAUACUGCUCCUUUGCUGUGGGCUGUCAGGUAAAUGUACUGGCAAAAGUGACCAACAAGAACUUAUAAAUAAAAUCUGCUAAAGGGGGAAAGAGGCAAAGAGAGCAAGCAGACCUUAUUACCUACAUAAUGUAAAUGAUCCCUGACAUUCUUAGGUUCCCUUUAGAAAACUGAAUCCUUCCACAAGAAUGGAUGUAAGGCUUACGAUAUCUGAUACCACAAACAGGAAAGUUUGGAAACUGACUCUCAGGAUCUGCGCUCACUGGAGCCUGGCUAACGCUUUGUGUCUUUGCUAUGUUUACUUGAUCUACAGUUCAAAUUACAGCGCAGCAACUGACCACAUAACAUGAUAAAAGAGAAGUUUGUCCCUACCUGACAUGGCCUUUGUAUCUGAUGUGCCUCAUAUCUCUCCGGGUAAAUUGGCUCAGCUUGACUUGAAUAAAAAACAAAAUAAAUAAUUUUCAAAUCUUCUACCCAUUCAAGAUCUGUCUUCACUUACACUGGGUCUACUUCCGUUUUCCUUUCAUUUUCUAUGCACAUUUGCAAAAAGGGUUUCUUUUUACUCACAUUUCAGGGAGGUUUUUUUCAUACACAAGUCUUAGAUAAGCUCACUAGCAGGCAAGUGCGUAGCACAGAAAAAUGCAUAUGAUUUAACCGAUGAGUCACAUGCAACAAAUAAUGAAUUAUGGAUGGUAGAACUCAAAAGAGAAGUCACAAGGCUUAUGCAGCAUUUAAAUCCUGUUUACAACUCCAAAUGAGGGCACUUUGAUUCAGGUCCUUAUAUAUUUGCUUACAGGCCGGAUUCCCAGGAGCCAGACAGGGAUGUCACCAGUUUCCCUCUGGCAGUUCCUGCUCUCUGUAUCUCAUUCUUCAGCCUAUUAAAAAAAAAAAAAAAAAAAAAAAAAAAAAAAAAAAAAAAAAAGGAAACACAAG